AUUCCAUAUGGAGGGGUUGUUUCCUUUUUCAUCCUUUCCCCCUUCUUUUCACCCUAAAAUGGCAUAAAAGAUGGGUCUUAUAAAUUGGAUAAUCACUGAUCAAAAGAUAGUUAAAAUCUCUUCUUUUCCAUUUAGCCAUAUGUUGCUGAAAUGCAGAUGGUAGCUAAAAUUCUUUAUCAUCUAGUUCAGAGGCCUGAGGAUUAUUAGAAAAACAUUGAAAAUGCUAUUAAACUUUAUAGGGAAAUAGUUCUUCAUGGUUUACAACUCCUUCCUCCUUUGAAGAUCUUGCAAUGUUAAAAUUGAGGAAGAAAAUGCGAAGGAGGGUGAAGGGAGGGCUGGAGAAUGGGGAAAAAAAUAAGAACCAAGAUACAUCAGAAAUACAACUUACAGAAUAAGAAGAAACAAUCAAAUCAAGUCUAAUAGAAAAUAACCCACUGCCUUCCAAAAUUCUUGAAGUAAUUUUUUCUGAGUCAGAGAUUAUGUUCUGCUACUACCUGGAUAAGAAAACACCGAACAAAUUCAGCACCUACAGGACCACUCAGUGUGAUGGUCAUAACUAAUGUGACACCUGAGUUGAAUCCAUCCCGACUCCACAUAUACCCUGGAGCUUGCUGUCAUGGACAGAGGCAAGAGAUUUCUCAUUCUUCCCUUCUGUGUGCAGAACAUGUGGCUCCAGGACUCACCAUUUUAAAUCAGUGAGGGAAUCACAUGCAGCCAAAGCCCUUCCCAUAUUUGUCCUCUUGCUCUAAAUCAAAAGCAUUGCCUUUACCUUCUGAUUUUUUUAGCAGCAAAUAAAACAUUUUAACAUUAGAAACCAC
RNAcentral lists this long non-coding RNA (818 nucleotides) under Heterocephalus glaber (naked mole-rat). RNAcentral's name for it is "lncRNA (ENSHGLG00000039239.1)". The record is from RNAcentral. Lineage: Eukaryota; Metazoa; Chordata; Mammalia; Rodentia; Bathyergidae.